RNAcentral lists this unclassified non-coding RNA (336 nucleotides) under fungal sp. RNAcentral describes it as "partial internal transcribed spacer region". The stretch from base 1 to 46 matches the Rfam family "Eukaryotic small subunit ribosomal RNA", at positions 1786 to 1831 of the family's 1831-position model. Lineage: Eukaryota; Fungi. The record is from RNAcentral.
AAGUCGUAACAAGGUUUCCGUAGGUGAACCUGCGGAAGGAUCAUUAACACGUCCAAACGUUUCUCACCAACUGUGCAUCGACUGUCAUGUCCCUUGUGCCUCGAGCACGAGACGACAAGCAGUGGCGGAGAGCGAUGGUUCGCCUUGCUCUCCAACGCUGCUUUUAUAUUCUAUUCUUUAUUCACGUUAUUCCUCUUUAUUCGCUUCUCUUCGUUGGAAGCGCGUCAUGUUGUGCUGUGCUUCACCAUGUCAAUGGUGUGGUACAUUGUUGGAUUGACUAUGUCAAUCUUGUACGAAUAGUAUCAACAACUCUUAGCAAUGGAUAUCUCGGUUCUC